This is a long non-coding RNA of Gadus chalcogrammus (walleye pollock), 5347 nucleotides long. RefSeq lists it as uncharacterized. NCBI's taxonomy places the organism in Eukaryota, Metazoa, Chordata, Actinopteri, Gadiformes, Gadidae. The transcript has 22 exons. The record is from RefSeq and is a predicted model, not a curated record.
GUUCUGUGUGUGUGUGUGUGUGUGUGUCCGACUUGCUUUGACAGUGAUAAUGUUCAUACGGGGGUCUGUGUGAUUGGCUUGGGAUAUUGGAGUGGGCAAAUAAAUCAUACCUGAUGGACGGCCACACGUUUACUUAAGGGCCUCCAGUAGACAUGAAGAGCCCUGAGCGAUGCUCCGGAGCGAGAUCCAACACACUGGGCAGGAAGGAGAGUAUCCAAAUCAAGGGUAAAAGGAUGCAAGCGGCGUGUUCAGAUCAGUGACUUCAAACUAGGACUACACCAAUCAGGAUCAAUGGAGGAUGGACACCAAAAGGAAUUCCACAAGGAGAGUGUGACGUUGGAAAGGGACCUAAAUGGAUAUUCAAGAUGACCUUCAGACCUGUAAUGAGACGGCUCUUCCUACCAGCCUGGAUUGAUGGAGAGCCCUGUGGAUCUUGUCUUGCUCUCAGUUGCACGUCUUCUCAGGCUGAACUCUAAUUGUCUCGGACAGGACUAGCUGAACAAUUGGUUCCCUUAAAUCAGAACCAAUCCGGGAACUCCAUCUAGUGCGCUCUUCGAGCUGAAGUUGUGCUCUUCAGCUGAGGAGGUAAGGAAACCUUCACUGGGGCUUCAAGAUGUAAAGAGGAGAAUGUUUCAAAGUGUUCCAUGGUACUCUGAUGAAGACCGUUGGUGUGUUCCACUGGCUGAGAGGAAGAACCCACACAUCUUCCUCUUGGCCUUUCUCCUCUCAGAAUCCUGGCGCCAUCUUGAAGGAUAUUCCAGCUCAUGUAACUGAUGUCACGACAGAUUCACAAACACUUGGUUUCUCCUGAGGGGCGUUUCUAUAGAACUGAAGACUUCAGACGGCACUGUAUCCCAGCAUGCAUCUCUGCUCACUCAGACCACACCCCCAUGAGUAGGAUGCAACACUCUUGGGAUGGAGAUGUAGUGUUUUAUAAGUAACGAGGGAGCAGACUAAGGGGAUUAGAACGUAAUGGAAUGUCAAGUCUAAAUCUUUAAACCAUGAAGAUGGUUGGAAAAGUCAGGAAUUUGGCUUAUUUUUAAUAUGGGCAGUCCUUUCACUCGGAUGCUCACUUGAAAUGUACAUGCGUUGGCUGGCUGGCAUGAUUUGCUGUUGGUGAUGAGGCGGUCAGGGUGACGUUGCAGGGCUAUGGUCGGCUCUCUGUGAGCUCAACGUUUAGAUUUUCUCUGGUUUGUACCCUGAAUAAUCUAGAUAAUUGUAAAAUGUAGACACGGUUUUGCAUUGAAUGAUUCCAGGAUUUUAGGUUUAAAGUUGUUGUGCAUGGUAGUUUGGUUCUUCGUAUGGUUUUGAGUGAUUAUAACUUGUACACACUGGGUGCAUAAUAAUGUAAUGUUACACUGAAUAGUAUUAAUGACCAACAGCAACAAACAGAUCCCCUCAAGGUAAGUCUGUUGGCUGUAUUUUAAUGAAGACCAUCGCUGGACUUCAGGAUCUUCCUCCGUUCAGCUCAAGGUGAGGCGCUGGUUACGUUUUUUCUUUGGUUGGUUCCGGCUGGAAUGUUCGGAUUCCAGUCGGACGGUUUGUGCUUCCCGCCGUGGAAGGUUCUGAGUGCGGUCACUUGAUUUAGUCCCAAUGGUUAGCAUAGAAAGUUGUAGUCUUGACAACCAUAAGAACACUGACACGAAUUUCGUACAAUAUGUUAAUUUCCGAUGGUUGCGCCGUACUUUUAACCACGUUGACGGGACUCUCGCUGCGUACAAAACGGCGUUCUACUUGCGGCCCAAUUUUUGGUGAAGGCUGAAAAUCAUUUCAAGGUGGAAGACAACUCAAAGGUGAGGCUGAGAGGCUUGGGACCGGAGGCUUGUGGUGCCAGGAUGGACCGGAGACUGAGGCUGGAGACCAGGGGCCUGCAGCACCGGACCAGAGGACCAGGAAUCCAUGGCUGAAGGAGCUGAUGGAGGCCCUGCCUGGUGGAGGAGCCAUGCUGAAAGCCCUGCCUGGUGGAGGAGCUGACGGAGGCCCUGCCUGGUGGAGGAUGUCUGUCGUGGGACCAGGACUCUUUCUGAGGAGAGCAGAUGGAGGAGCUGAGACGCUGGAGGACAACUAGGAAUCAACCAACAAGGAUUCCUCAACGUGUUUCUGGAGCGGAGGCGAGCUGAUGGGGGAGCCGUGAAUCUGGAGGAUGACGUCACUCUACCAACAAAGAUUACCAGGACUCUGGCUGAGGAGAGCUGAUGGAGGAGCCAUAAAACCAGGAAUCUGGAGGACUGACGGAGAAGCUGUACAUCUGGAAGGCAAAUCCUGAGGACGAUCAGGACUCUACCAUCAAGGAUUCCUCACACGCAUGAGCUGAACCUCACCUGAUCCUGUUUGGUCGGGGGCAGACGCACCUGAGCUGAACCCCACCUGAUCCGGACAUCCUGCUGGUCCCGUCUCCUCAGUUCAUCUGAGCCUCUUCCUCCAGAAGACAUGCUGAGCUCGGCGGUCUGAGGCUGAUGUAUCAAUGACCUCCAGUGGGAGUGAUCUUCUUGACCCCACAUGUAGCCGUGUGCUUCCACACGCCUUUCCCUCACGUCUGUCACUAACCUCAUUACUUCACUACUCUCUACUCCUUCUCCUUCUUCUUCCUUCUCCGUGGUUCGAACCUUUACUCUGAAGGAGAAUCUCCUUGAACCUUUACACUGAAGGAGCGUCUUCCUGUCCUCAGAGGGUUCAGCGUUAGGGUUGAGAGUCAGGGUUUAGAGUCAGGGACAGAGCUGGUCAGGGAGGGCUGGUUUUACAUAAACCUUUUCACUUGCUUUCUGAAUGGUGGUGACAUUUUGAAAAGAUUAAUUUGGGAAAAUGUUUUCCUCUUUUUUUGCUUUACAAAAAUAUGUAUUAAACUUCUGUGUUUGUAACCAGACCAGGUAUCCAUGGCUGAAGGAGCUGAUGGUGGAGCCGUGCUGAAAGAGCGGAUGGAGGAGCCGUGCUGACGGCCCUGCCUGGUGGAGGAGCCGUGCUGACGGCCCUGCCUGGUGGAGGAGCCGUGCUGACGGCCCUGCCUGGUGGAGGAGCCGUGCUGACGGCCCUGCCUGGUGGAGGAGCCGUGCUGACGGCCCUGCCUGGUGGAGGAUGUCUGUCGUGGGGUAGAUGGAGCCUGACUCUGUGACAUCACACUCACUGCCACUUCUCGUAGAAUACUGCUACCACAAACCACCGGCGUUUGUAACAAUAUACCAGACGACUACAUCUGUUUUACCACAUGUUGAAGCAAGACUUCUGCUGUUUGUUCCAGACCAGGACUCUGUCUGAGGAGAGCAGAUGGAGGAGCUGAGAUGCUGGAGGACAACUAGGAAUCGACCAACAAGGAUUCUUCAACGUGUUUCUGGAGCGGAGGCCAGCUGGUAGGGGAGCCGUGAAUCUGGAGGAUGACCAUCACUCUACCAACAAGGAUUACUUUAGGGCCAGACUCGCGCUGUUUGUUCCAGACCAGGACUCUGGCUGAGGAGAGCUGAUGGAGGAGCCAAGACUCUGUAGGACGACAUCACUCCACCAACCAGGAUCCUCACCAGGAAUCUGGAGGACUGACGGAGAAGCUGUACAUCUGGAAGGCAAAUCCUGAGGACGAUCAGGACUCUACCAUCAAGGAUUCCUCACACACAUGAGCUGAACCUCACCUGAUCCUGUUUGGUUGGCGGGCAGACGCACCUGAGCGGAUCCCACCUGAUCCGGACAUCCUGCUGGUCCCGUCUCCUCAGUUCAUCUGAGCCUCUUCCUCCAGAAGACAUGCUGAGCUCGGCGGUCUGAGGCUGAUACCAGGUAUCCAUGGCUGAAGGAGCUGAUGGUGGAGCCGUGCUGAAAGAGCGGAUGGAGGAGCCGUGCUGACGGCCCUGCCUGGUGGAGGAGCCGUGCUGACGGCCCUGCCUGGUGGAGGAGCCGUGCUGACGGCCCUGCCUGGUGGAGGAUGUCUGUCGUGGGACCAGGACUCUGUCUGAGGAGAGCAGAUGGAGGAGCUGAGAUGCUGGAGGACAACUAGGAAUCGACCAACAAGGAUUCUUCAACGUGUUUCUGGAGCGGAGGCCAGCUGGUAGGGAGCCGUGAAUCUGGAGGAUGACCAUCACUCUACCAACAAGGAUUACUUUAGGGCCAGACUCGCGCUGUUUGUUCCAGACCAGGACUCUGGCUGAGGAGAGCUGAUGGAGGAGCCAAGACUCUGUAGGACGACAUCACUCCACCAACCAGGAUCCUCACCAGGUAUCCAUGGCUGAAGGAGCUGAUGGUGGAGCCGUGCUGAAAGAGCGGAUGGAGGAGCCGGGCUGACGGCCCUGCCUGGUGGAGGAGCCGUGCUGACGGCCCUGCCUGGUGGAGGAGCCGUGCUGACGGCCCUGCCUGGUGGAGGAUGUCUGUCGUGGACCAGGACUCUGUCUGAGGAGAGCAGAUGGAGGAGCUGAGAUGCUGGAGGACAACUAGGAAUCGACCAACAAGGAUUCUUCAACGUGUUUCUGGAGCGGAGGCCAGCUGGUAGGGGAGCCGUGAAUCUGGAGGAUGACCAUCACUCUACCAACAAGGAUUACUUUAGGGCCAGACUCGCGCUGUUUGUUCCAGACCAGGACUCUGGCUGAGGAGAGCUGAUGGAGGAGCCAAGACUCUGUAGGACGACAUCACUCCACCAACCAGGAUCCUCAGACGAAUUACGUUUGUAACCAGACCAGGAAUCUGGAGGACUGAUGGAGAAGCCGUACAUCUGGAAGGCAAAUCCUGAGGACCAGCAGGACUCUACCAUCAAGGAUUCCUCAUAAGUUUGCAUUAUCUGGACAAAGUGGCCUAGACACACCUGAGCUGAACCUCACCUGAUCCUGUUUGGUCGGGGUAGACACACCUGAGCUAAACCCACCCUGAUCCUGACAUCCUGCUGGUCCAGUCUCCUCAGUUCUCCUGAGCCUCGUCCCAGGCUGAUGGAUCAAUGACCUCCAGUGGGAGGGAUCUUCUUGACCCCACUUGUAACCGUGUGCUUCCACACGCCUUUCCCUCACAUCUGUCACUAACCUCACUACUUCACUACUCUCUACUGCUUCCUCUUUUCUUCCUUCUCUGUGGUUUAAACCUUUUAUACUGAAGGCGCGUCUUCCUGCCCUCAGAGGGUUUAGCGUUAGGGUUGAGAGUCAGGGUUUAGAGUCAGGGACAGAGCUGGUCAGGGAGGACUGCUUUUACACAAACCUCUUGACUUGCUUUCGGAAUGGUGGUGACAUUUUGAAAAGAUUCAUUUGGUAAAAUCUUUUCCUCUGCUUCCCUUUACAAAAUUGUAUCAAACUUCUGUCAAGUGUUUUUGUUUAAAUAUUAAAAUCCCACAUUGACUUCUACAUGUUUGGUGCGGUUCAUUUAUUUGUCCUUUUAACUUGGUUAAUGU